This 253-nucleotide ribosomal RNA is filed under the name uncultured bacterium. RNAcentral describes it as "partial 16S ribosomal RNA". It matches the Rfam family "Bacterial small subunit ribosomal RNA", at positions 524 to 776 of the family's 1533-position model. The record is from RNAcentral.
UACAGAGGUCUCAAGCGUUGUUCGGAUUCAUUGGGAGUAAAGGGUGUGUAGGUGGCGCCGUAAGUCGGGUGUGAAAUUUCGGAGCUUAACUCCGAAACUGCAUUCGAUACUGCGGUGCUUGAGGACUGGAGAGGAGACUGGAAUUCAUGGUGUAGCAGUGAAAUGCGUAGAGAUCAUGAGGAAGACCAGUGGCGAAGGCGGCCUUCUGGACCAGCACUGACACUCAAGCACGAAAGCGUGGGGAGCAAACAGG